Molecule: ribosomal RNA, 468 nt
Filed under: uncultured Bacilli bacterium
Lineage: Bacteria; Bacillati; Bacillota; Bacilli
Description: bacterial SSU rRNA
Rfam family: Bacterial small subunit ribosomal RNA
Source: RNAcentral
CGACGAUACAUAGCCGACCUGAGAGGGUGAUCGGCCACACUGGGACUGAGACACGGCCCAGACUCCUACGGGAGGCAGCAGUAGGGAAUCUUCGGCAAUGGGGGCAACCCUGACCGAGCAACGCCGCGUGAGUGAAGAAGGUUUUCGGAUCGUAAAGCUCUGUUGUAAGAGAAGAACGUGUGUGAGAGUGGAAAGUUCACACAGUGACGGUAACUUACCAGAAAGGGACGGCUAACUACGUGCCAGCAGCCGCGGUAAUACGUAGGUCCCGAGCGUUGUCCGGAUUUAUUGGGCGUAAAGCGAGCGCAGGCGGUUUAAUAAGUCUGAAGUUAAAGGCAGUGGCUUAACCAUUGUUCGCUUUGGAAACUGUUAAACUUGAGUGCAGAAGGGGAGAGUGGAAUUCCAUGUGUAGCGGUGAAAUGCGUAGAUAUAUGGAGGACACCGGUGGCGAAAGCGGCUCUCUGGUCU